RNA transcript from Cucurbita maxima (winter squash), 1863 nucleotides. It is a transcript of the gene named AT-hook motif nuclear-localized protein 3, with no coding region annotated. NCBI's taxonomy places the organism in Eukaryota, Viridiplantae, Streptophyta, Magnoliopsida, Cucurbitales, Cucurbitaceae. The transcript has 7 exons. The record is from RefSeq and is a predicted model, not a curated record.
UUUUUUUUUUUUUUUUUUUUUUUUUUUUUUUUUUUUUUUUUUUUUUUUUACGAUUAUUGGAGUAAGUGAUUUGUUGGAUUUUUCCUAAACUGGAGCUUUGAGUAGUGGUCUGUAAUGGCGGAGAUUUAGGAUACUGAGAAGAAACUGAGUUGAAGUUGUUGUAUGGAAGCUCUGGUUCUUGAUCUACAAGUAGUUCUACUGGAGGUUUUGGUUUUGGGGAUUGGUGAUAGGUUUUGGAUUUCAUUUCACUUCAUUGGCCCUGUUUUUGUGUUCUUAUUUCAUCGUCUUCAUCAUUGAAACCUUCUUCGUCGGUGUGUUUGUAAAAUAUUGUACCUGAAGUUUGGUAAACCGAAGAAUGGAGGUUUAAGAAUCGGUUACGUAGUUUUGUUUUGUAACCAGUUUCUCUUCUAGACUGUAAAAAUGGAGGAGAAAGAGGGUGUUGAUUUCGGAUUUGCAUUAAAAGUGAGCCAAGCUCCAGAUAGCUUCGGGAUGAUGGAUUCGAGACCUGAAAAUACAAGCACGGACAGCGAGCCACCUCCUCCUCCUCCGCCUCCGCCGCCGGCGACGGCGACGGCGACGGUGGAAGCAGCUCUGACGCUGGCGGGUACAGAUGGAAAGAAGAAAAGAGGGAGGCCGAGAAAGUACGGACCCGAUGGAACUGUAGUGCCAACAUUGUCGCCAAUGCCGAUUUCAUCAUCGAUUCCACUGACGGGAGAGUUUCCGGGAUGGAAACGGGGAAGGGGGAGGUCAGUAGAAUCGCUCAAGAAGUCGCGGAAGUACGAUUAUGAGAUUCCAGGUAACAAGGUUGCCUUCUUUGCUGGAGCAGAUUUCACACCUCACGUGAUCACUGUUAAUAUUGGUGAGGAUGUUAACUUGAAAGUAAUGUCAUUUUCUCAACAAGGAUCUCGGGCCAUUUGUAUACUCUCUGCUAAUGGUCUGGUUUCAAAUGUCACACUUCGGCUGUCAACAUCUUCUGGGGGUACUCUAACAUAUGAGGGUCGAUUUGAGAUACUUUCGUUAUCUGGAUCAUAUAUGCCUUCCAAGAUUGGUGGAACAAAGAGCCGAUCCGGAGGGAUGAGUGUCUCUUUGGCUUGCCCAGAUGGCCGAGUAAUGGGUGGAGGACUUUCCGGCAUGCUAAUAGCAGCUGGUCCAGUGCAGGUGGUUGUGGGCAGUUUCCAACCACCAGGCCAUCAACAGGAGAAUAAACCAAAGAAGAGCAGGAUGGAACCUACAUCAAAUGCAAUUUCACCUCCUCCCGCUAUUAAGCUCAUAGGAGAUAAAACAGAUUCUUUUGACCCAAAUCCAGCUUUUAGAACUUCACCAGUCAACGAAAAACCACCUUCUCCAGAAGAAACAAGAGUUGUCCUCAACCAUUCAAACCAUGAGCGGUAUGAGCUCAUUGAUUCUGUGAAGGUAUGAGCUCAUUGAUUCUGUGAAGGGCUAACUAAGAGUGUUUAAACCACUGACGUAUCUGUCGUCAUCAGGUGGGAGUACUGGAAAACAAAUGGAAUUCGAUUCAAUUGGUUCGAGUUGAUUGAUUGGUUUUCGGAAACUGACAUGAAUGUCCCAACUACUCGACCAAUCUCGAGGUUCUUUGUCUUUCUUCUCUCCACCCACUGUUAACCUUUUCAAUGAACUCUUCCACUCUUCUUUUGAAAUCCUCAUCGUCCUCGUCCUCGUCCUCUUCCUCAUCCUUGUCCUCAUGAUCAUCACCACUCCCUUCAACACUGUCGCUGAAGUCUGGUUCAUUUAGGGUCUCUGUCACUGCACACACAUCAACUGUGGCAUUUUUCUGAAGCAUGAAAUUCUGUUCUGCAUUUGUGUUGCUGUGAAUGACGAUUGAAAGAGGCACAUCAUCAUGAU